Long non-coding RNA from Cynara cardunculus var. scolymus (artichoke), 471 nucleotides. RefSeq lists it as uncharacterized. The transcript is spliced from 3 exons. Lineage: Eukaryota; Viridiplantae; Streptophyta; Magnoliopsida; Asterales; Asteraceae. The record is from RefSeq and is a predicted model, not a curated record.
GUGUUUUAUAUCUUUGUGUGUGCGGGUGUGGAAAAGCUUCCAUUUGAGAGAAUACCUUGGAGAGGAAGCUAUGGAGCUUUUAAAGAAAUAUUAAUCUAAUGGAUUCGUUUUGUGAGGUGUAUAUUUUGUUGAGAUUGCUAGCAUGGGAAGGGUAAAGCUGUAAACCUUGAGAUGGAGGUGGUUUCAGCUACCGCUCGAUUGUUUAGACUAUGGUGCAACCCAUGGUGGCGGGACAACCCACCUAUCGGGGUUCCAUGGAUAAGCGCAAGUCGUAUUAGUAGCACAUAGAUUGUCGAUUGUCAUGGCGGUCGUUCGUCUGGACCAUCUAUCACUCAGACGACCUGACCCUCGAUGCUGUUGUAGUUGGUUCUGGCUUACGGUUUUUAAGACAGUAGGGGAUGAAUCGUAUUUCAGUGGCUUCGUAUUGUAUAAUUUUCAGUAUAAUAAUAUUAUUAGAUCUUUUCAUCGUAA